This 1906-nucleotide ribosomal RNA is filed under the name Slaterocoris sp. WCW-2003b. RNAcentral's name for it is "SSU rRNA". It matches the Rfam family "Eukaryotic small subunit ribosomal RNA". The record is from RNAcentral. Lineage: Eukaryota; Metazoa; Arthropoda; Insecta; Hemiptera; Miridae.
UAUGCUUGUCUCAAAGCUUAAGCCAUGCAAGUCUCAGUACAAACUGUAUUAAAGUGAAACCGCAAAAGGCUCAGUAAACCAGUCAUGAUUCACUUGAGUAAACAUGACUGUCUUUGGAUAACUGUGGUAAUCCUAGAGCUAAUACAUGCAAUCAAGUCCCGACCAAUCUGAUUGGGAAGGACGCUUUUAUUAGAUCAAGACCAAUCGCCCGACUUCGGUCGGGCAGUUUCCUUGGCGACUCUAGGUAACACAUCAGAUCGCAUGGUCUCGCACCGGCGACUUAUCUUUCAAAUGCCUGACUUAUCAACUGUCGAUGGUAGACUCUAUGUCUACCAUGGUUGUAACGGGUAACGGGGAAUCAGGGUUCGAUUCCGGAGAGGGAGCCUGAGAAACGGCUACCACAUCCAAGGAAGGCAGCAGGCACGCAAAUUACCCACUCCCGGCACGGGGAGGUAGUGACAAAAAAUAACGAUACGGGACUCAUAUGAGGCCCCGUAAUCGGAAUGAGUACACUUUAAAUCCUUUAACAAGGAUCCAUUGGAGGGCAAGUCUGGUGCCAGCAGCCGCGGUAAUUCCAGCUCCAAUAGCGUAUAUUAAAGUUGUUGCGGUUAAAAAGCUCGUAGUUGGUUCUGCGUGCUACGCUGUCGGUUCGCCGCCUGCCGGUGUAACUGGCAUGCCGUGGCAUGUCCUGUCGGUGGCGUUCGGGUGCCUUGUCUAGGUGAGACCUCCGUUUCGUAAGGGACGGGUGGUUAUUCAACCGGAGGUUUCCCCGUUCGCCUACUCUAUCCUACCUAGGUGCUCUUCACCGAGUGUCGAGGUAGGCCGACACGUUUACUUUGAACAAAUUAGAGUGCUCAAAGCAGGCUGAAAUUUCUGCCUGAAUAGUGGUGCAUGGAAUAAUAAAACAGGACCUCGGUUCUAUUUUGUUGGUUCUUAGGAACACGAGGUAAUGAUCAAUACGGACAGGCGGGGGCAUUCGUAUUGCGACGUUAGACUUGGCAAAUGCUUUCGCGGUGAAAUUCUUGGAUCGUCGCAAGACGCACAAGAGCGAAAGCAUUUGCCAAGUAUGUCUUGAUUGAUCAAGAACGAAAGUUAGAGGUUCGAAGGCGAUCAGAUACCGCCCUAGUUCUAACCAUAAACGAUGCCAGCCAGCGAUCCGCCGAUGUUCCUCCGAUGACUCGGCGGGGAGCUUUUUCCCGGGAAACCAAAGCUUUUGGGUUCCGGGGGAAGGUAUGGUUGCAAAGGCUGAAACUUAAAGGAAUUGACGGAAGGGCACCACCAGGAGUGGAGCCUGCGGCUUAAUUUGACUCAACACGGGAAACCUCACCAGGCCAGGACAUUGGAAGGAUUGACAGAUUGAUAGCUCUUUCUUGAUUCAGUGGGUAGUGGUGCAUGGCCGUUCUUAGUUGGUGGAUCGAUUUGUCUGGUUAAUUCCGAUAACGAACGAGACUCUAGCUUAUUAACUAGGCGUUUUCCGGUGCCCUCGUCACCGGCGACACUCAUUCUUCUUAAGGGGACAAGCGGCUUAUAGCCGCACGAGAUUGAGCAAUAACAGGUCUGUGAUGCCCUUAGAUGUCCUGGGCCGCACGCGCGCUACACUGAAAGAAUCAGCGUGUGCCUCCCUGGCCGAAAGGCCCGGGUAAUCCGCUGAACCUCUUGCGUGCUAGGAAUUGGGGCUUGCAAUUGUUCCCCAUGAACGAGGAAUUCCCAGUAAGCGCGAGUCAUAAGCUCGCGUUGAUUACGUCCCUGCCCUUUGUACACACCGCCCGUCGCUACUACCGAUUGAAUGAUUUAGUGAGGUCUUCGGACUGGCGGUAAUCCCUACCGACUUGUCGAUAUCGAUGAACGCUGGAAAGAUGACCAAACUUGAUCAUUUAGAGGAAGUAAAAGUCGUAACAAGGUUUCC